This 450-nucleotide ribosomal RNA is filed under the name uncultured Glomus. Its description in RNAcentral is "SSU rRNA". It matches the Rfam family "Eukaryotic small subunit ribosomal RNA", at positions 569 to 1026 of the family's 1831-position model. Lineage: Eukaryota; Fungi; Glomeromycota; Glomeromycetes; Glomerales; Glomeraceae. The record is from RNAcentral.
AGCAGCCGCGGUAAUUCCAGCUCCAAUAGCGUAUAUUAAAGUUGUUGCAGUUAAAAAGCUCGUAGUUGAAUUUCGGGAUCAAUACGUCGGUCGUGCUUAGGUACGUACUGGCGUCAUUGAUUUCUCCCUUCUGACGAACCAUGAUGUCAUUAAUUUGGUGUUAUGGGAAGUCAGGACUGUUACUUUGAAAAAAUUAGAGUGUUUAAAGCAGGCUCACGCUUGAAUACAUUAGCAUGGAAUAAUGAAAUAGGACGUUCGAUCCUAUUUUGUUGGUUUUAGGAUCAACGUAAUGAUUAAUAGGGAUAGUUGGGGGCAUUAGUAUUCAAUUGUCAGAGGUGAAAUUCUUGGAUUUAUUGAAGACUAACUACUGCGAAAGCAUUUGCCAAGGAUGUUUUCAUUAAUCAAGAACGAAGUUAGGGGAUCGAAGACGAUCAGAUACCGUCGUAGUCU